Long non-coding RNA from Mustela lutreola (European mink), 2821 nucleotides. RefSeq lists it as uncharacterized. The transcript is spliced from 4 exons. The record is from RefSeq and is a predicted model, not a curated record. Lineage: Eukaryota; Metazoa; Chordata; Mammalia; Carnivora; Mustelidae.
GGGGAGUGCUUCCAGAGCCCCGUCUGGCCCGCGGGCGAAGCUUGGCUAAGCAGGGCCACCGGCUGAAGGAACAGAGAGACAGAGUGAUGAGGAUGGUUGGCUUUCAGUGCUUGGGAAGAGACCGUUUAUUUGCGUUUUGGUUUUGUCCCCAGGUCAAGGCUGGGAUUCCUGGAACCUAGGGUGAGGAGUGGGGAGGCUGUAUAGUACUUAGACUUGUAGGGCCAAAUCAGCAACUCCCUCCUUACACCUUCGCCAUUUCUAACUCAGAGCCUAAGUUACCUGAAGAGGGCCUCAGGACCCCGGCCAGCUGAAUUUAGUAAGAUAAUACCAAACCAGCCCAGGCCCUAGUCCGAAGCAAGGCAUUUCUCCACUUCUCUGUGUUCUGCCAGUAAUUUCAGAGAGUAAGAGUAGGAAAGAUGUGGUGGGGGAAUUGGAAGGCCCCCAGCCCCCUAUUGCUGCUGAUUUUCCAAAGCUUUUGCAGGGAAAUGCGGAUGGUUAGUCUAGAGAAGUGAGAUGGUCAGUGACCAGAGAGGAGGAGCCCACGUUCUGGAUCAGUGCUUUUCAAGGAAGAGAAGGUUAAAAAAUAAGCCCAGGCAGUCAGGAAAUCCAGGAAGGCACCAGGUGGGUGGAGUGGGGUAGUCUCCCUGCAGGAAAACAGGUCAAUUUGAGAAAGAAUGCUGGCAGGGGUGAGGGGAAGAGAGGAUCCCAGCCUUUUCAAGUCACCACCAAGGUUCUGCAGUUCCUCAGAGAGCGGAACACACAACCAGAAAAGAAGUUUGGAGAUCUCUGGUUUGAAAAACUGACUCCUGGAGAGCAAGAAUUUGUCAGUGACUCUCCAGCGUGAUCCAUACAGAGGGUGCCCGGCCAGCGUCUGAGUUACCCAUGGUCAACUGCCUUCGGGAAGCAGAUGAUCUUCCUGACUGAUCCUGGGAAGGUCCAUAUUGCCCAGCACUACAUCAUAUGCCUGCGUCAGCCCUCAAAGUCGUCUUAUUAUGUCAGCGAGGUAUCGUCUCACAUCACCACGAGAAGUGGAAAAGAAAACUGUUUUCACCAUUACUAUAGACCAAUGAUGAUCAUUUACUCUGAGACAGAGAACAAGGUAUCAAUCAGCUUUUAUUCUUAUCUCUCCUGCUGCUUCUCUGUGCAGUGCUCUAAAAGAGACCUGAAACAUUGGGAAAAAGCUAAUUUACCUUUUAAAAAAAAAAUAAGACCAACACUCUUAAGGCUCCAAACAAGACCGGAUCACAGCUUCAGGUCAGUAGAAGAAUUACAGGGCAGACACAUAAUCCUAUUCAUAAACAGCAACCAGUGUUAACAGUUGUUUCAUUUUCUUCUUUUCUCUUCUCUCCAAGACUAAUUAGCAUUACACACAGUGUAUUCCUUGUUACAAAUGCCUUCUUUCAGUGUUAGAACUAUAGUAUCUUUUGAUUACCCACAACUCUGAUCUAGUUUUUCAGUUAUGCAAAAGCCAAACACUCUGUAACACUUCAGACUAGCUAAACUAAAAAAAAAAAAAAAAAAAAAAAAAAAAAAAAAUAGAAACAACUAUCACAAGUGGAUGUGACACGUAUACUACCUUCACUUUGUGAAUCAUCAUCACUUCAAAGAUAAACUAUAAAAGAAGACCUUUAAAAAAAAAGAAUACCUUUUUAAAUACUUACUGCUGAAAAGCUGCCAUUGUAUUCUCCAAAUUUUCUCCAGCACCUGUGAAAACAUUAAAUUUAAAUUUCAUUUACUAGCUAAUUUCAACUUUUAAAAAAAAUUUUAAAAAAUUUUAAAGAUUUUAUUAAUUUAUUUGAGAGAGCACACACAUGCACAGGAGUUGGAGGGAGAAGUGGAAGGCAGAGGGAGAGAGAGAAGCCGACUCCCCUCUGAGCAGGGCUCAGGGCCCAAUCCCAGGACCCUGGGACCAUGAUUUAUGAAGGCAGAUGCUUAACUGACUGAGCCACCCAGGCUCCCCUAAUUUGAACUUUUUAAUUUUUCCAGAAAUUAACUUUGAUAAGCUACAUCUAGUGAAUCUCGAUGUUUACAUACUGUAUAGACAUUACAAAUUUUUUUUUAAGAUUUUAUUUAUUUAUUUGACAGAGAAAAAUCACAAGUAGAUGGAGAGGCAGGCAGAGAGAGAGAGGGAAGCAGGCUCCCUGCUGAGCAGAGAGCCCGAUGCAGGACUCGAUCCCAGGACCCUGAGAUCAUGACCCGAGCCGAAGGCAGUGGCUUAACCCACUGAGCCACCCAGGCGCCCCGGCAUUACAAGUUUUUUAAAGAAUGUAAUAGUAUUUUGAAUUCUUUUUGGCUGCACCAGGAAGAGUCAAAAAUUAAAACAAAGCCGCAGCAACACAGAAAGGUUAGAACCUAAACAUGUUUUUUAAGCUACAAUAUCUGCUCGUCAGAGGAAAGACAGAAGAGGACCUGGUAUGUGUAUAUAUAUAUAUCCUCAGAAACAGUUAAUCUAUCUCUUCUGCAUCCCCAAACUCUCUUACGCAUCUCUCUAGUAAGAAUUUAUCACAUUAUAGCAUAAAUUAUAAAACUGACUCCUUCUUUUCCUAUGAAUUACUGAAAAUAAGUUCCUGUUUUAAUCGCUUUGGCUGAAGACAACAUAGUGCAGUAGUUAAAGGUGGAGUUAGGAUCUUUGCUCACAAAUCUACUUGAUAUUUGCAUGACCUUGGGAAAGUUACAAAACUUCCCUGAGGCUGAGCUUACUUAUCUGUAAGAAUGAGGGAUGCCUAGCUAUCUUAGUGGAGUGUGAGAUUCUUGAUCUCAGGGUUGUGUGCUUGAGCCUCACACUGGGAGUAGAGAUUACAUUUUAAAAAUUAGCAUUAAA